Molecule: ribosomal RNA, 1206 nt
Filed under: Haemaphysalis longicornis (longhorned tick)
Lineage: Eukaryota; Metazoa; Arthropoda; Arachnida; Ixodida; Ixodidae
Description: 16S ribosomal RNA
Rfam family: Archaeal large subunit ribosomal RNA (bases 942-1100)
Source: RNAcentral
AAUUAAAAUAAAUUAGUUAUUUUUUUUUAUUUUACAAAAAAAUAUACAAAUCUAAUUAUUUCAAUUUUAAACUGAAAAGGUUAUCUUUUUUAAUUUAAAAGUAAUUAAUUGUACCUUUAGCAUAAGGGGUUUUUAAAAAAAGCUAAACAUUUAUUGUUUUCGAAGCUAACUGAUCUAUUUUAUUUAUAUGAAAUAUAUUUAAAAAUGUUUUUAAAAAAUUUAAUAGAAGUGAAAUUCUUUCCAAAGUUGGGGAUAUCUAAUUUUAAUAAAAAACGAAAAGUUUUCUUAUAAAUGAAAUAUUUUAUGUAAAUUUAUAAGUAAAUAUUUAAGGGAUAAGCUUUGAAUAUUAAUUAUAUAAAUUCAUAAUUAAUUUUAAAAAGAAAUAAAAUUUUUCUAUUAUUGUUAUUAGUAAUUAAUAGUUUAUAUUAAUAUAAUUAAUAAUUUUAUUUAAAAUUUAAAAAAUAUAUUUUAAAUAUAAAUAUGAAAAUAUUAGUAAAAUAUUUUUUGUAUAUUAUAAACAAUAUAAUUAAUUUUAUAUUUAAAAAAUUAAUCUUAAAGAAUUCGGCAAAAAAAUUUUUUGACUGUUUAUUAAAAACAAUGUAUUUAGAUUAUAAUAAUUAAAUAUAAGUUCUGCUCAAUGAAUAUUUAAAUUGCUGUAGUAUUUUGACUAUACAAAGGUAUUGUAAUAAGACUUUAAUUGAGUGCUAAGAGAAUGGAUUUUCAAAAAAAUUCUUUUUUAAGUUUAAAAAUUAAAGUUAUUUUUAUUUGUGAAGAAACAAUAAUAAAAAUUAAAGACAAGAAGACCCUAUGAAUUUUUAUAAACUUUAAUAUUUAAUUAAAUAUUAAAGUUUAUUUAAUUGGGGCGAUUGAGAAAGAUAAAAAACUUUUUUUUUAUUUAAAGAGAUCCAUUAUUAAUGAUUUUAUGUAAAAAAUACUCUAGGGAUAACAGCGUAAUAAUUUUAGAUAGAUCUUAUAGAAAAAAUAGUUUGCGACCUCGAUGUUGGAUUAGGAUACUUGUUUAAUGAAGAAGUUAAAUAAAGAAGUUUGUUCAACUUUUAAAAUCCUACAUGAUCUGAGUUUAGACCGAUGUGAAUCAGGUUGGUUUCUAUCUUAAUUAUAAUUAUAAAUUUUUAAUUAGUACGAAAGGAAUUUUAAAAAAAUAUUGUAUUUCUGAUUUAACAGUUUUUGCAUCAAUUUUUGGAAUUA